GACGAACGCUGGCGGCGUGCUUAACACAUGCAAGUCGAACGGCAAGGCCCUGCUUUUGUGGGGUGCUCGAGUGGCGAACGGGUGAGUAACACGUGAGUAACCUGCCCUUGACUUUGGGAUAACUUCAGGAAACUGGGGCUAAUACCGGAUAGGAGCUCCUGCUGCAUGGUGGGGGUUGGAAAGUUUCGGCGGUGGGGGAUGGACUCGCGGCUUAUCAGCUUGUUGGUGGGGUAGUGGCUUACCAAGGCUUUGACGGGUAGCCGGCCUGAGAGGGUGACCGGCCACAUUGGGACUGAGAGACGGCCCAGACUCCUACGGGAGGCAGCAGGGGGGAAUAUUGCACAAUGGGCGGAAGCCUGAUGCAGCAACGCCGCGGGCGGGAUGACGGCCUUCGGGUUGUAAACCGCUUUCGCCUGUGACGAAGCGUGAGUGACGGUAAUGGGUAAAGAAGCACCGGCUAACUACGUG
This 468-nucleotide ribosomal RNA is filed under the name uncultured bacterium. RNAcentral's name for it is "partial 16S ribosomal RNA". It matches the Rfam family "Bacterial small subunit ribosomal RNA", at positions 28 to 507 of the family's 1533-position model. The record is from RNAcentral.